RNAcentral lists this long non-coding RNA (233 nucleotides) under Ananas comosus (pineapple). RNAcentral's name for it is "long non-coding RNA (ACOM_LNC034973)". Lineage: Eukaryota; Viridiplantae; Streptophyta; Magnoliopsida; Poales; Bromeliaceae. The record is from RNAcentral.
ACUUCCAAGUGUACCUGCUCCCGCUCAGAAAUAAACAGAUUCUCAAACAGCUUCUCCAUCGCACUGACCCAGCCCUCAACAACCCAGGCCUCUGUACAGCUGCCAUCAUAGGUUGGUGGAUCAAAACGGCGAAAAUGAGCUAGCCUCUCGGUCAUCCGCUCCUGCUCAGCCUCAGUCAUCUGUACCGACUCUCUAGAAGGUGCAACUAGUGCUAUAGGAACUGUCACUGGUGG